CAUAAAUCCUCAUGGUAAAUUUGUCAAAAUAAAGUAAAUUAUUUUUGAUACAAUUAAUUUUAAAAUUGUGCAAAUAAGGUAAAUGUGUAAAGGAAAUGUUUAUGUGAUAUUGCUUGAGCACUUUAAUAGAAAUAAAUGAUGUUUUCCACAGUUUUUAUUCAUGAAUACUAAUGCUACAUUUAGCUUCUUUGUUUGUAUAGAAAUCCUCUCAGGAUGGGACCCCUACUGUUUCCAGGGUAACGGAAUCCCGGCUCAGGCAUGUUGUGGGUUAACCUAGUCUGGAUACUUUUAAUGAAACGGUGAAGGACGUGGUUUUAUUGCGUCGCUUCUCACUAAAGACCUAGAUUUCAUAACAAGGCAAACAGUUUAAGGAGUAUGUCGAUAAUCCCCUCUUCAAUAUGGUGAGCCAUUAAAAAACAAUCAAUGCCAAUUAGUGCUGCCACUGUUUGGUCCAAAGCGCAGAGCUGGAGCGACGUCACGCGCUUUUGGAGAGGGCGUCAAUGCGCCUUUACGCGCCAAUAAAGCCGUGUUUACGGAGCGAGAGUUUUGAGAUCGGGACUUCCAGAGCGCAUGUGGACUGACACCAUGUCCCGGACCGAACAGACCUUGAGGAACAGAGACUGAGAUUCGGAGUCAUUGUAUCUGUUUAAGACGUGAAAUGAAAGGCUUCGAGCCAAGACUGAGGAGUUGUGGAGGAUUUUUGAGGGGAUUCUUUAACAGUUUUCACAGAGGAAAUGUCCACAACUGCAAGUCCAACCAUCUCCUCAUACGUGAUAUCCGACCAACUGACUGCGGUCGCUGCGUCCCUUUCUUCUCUGGUGUUCUUUGUGGUUAUUGUGGCGCUGCUGUCUUUUAUUUACCGCAAGGAUCCUCAGUGCUGCAUACACCGCUCCUAUCAGGAGCCACAUCCUGCUGCGGAUGAUCCUCCACAGUAUUACAGCAGUAGGACAACCUUGGUGGGGACCCCCUGUUUUGAGCCGGACAGGAAUACUCAGCAGGCAGGCGAGCUGUUCUGUGUCGGCCUGCCCUCCAGCUACAGCCUGCCGACGCUAGAGGCCCCCAUGCCGAGGCUCCCUUCCUAUGAGAGCGUGCGAAAGAAGGACCGCCAGAGGCAGAUCCACAUGAUGAUCGCUGACCGCUUUGGCCUCAAUGCGCCUAUUGUAACUGAGGUAGGAUAUAAUUAGGAUUUAAGGCUGUGUCGCAGUAAAUGAUACAGUCACAAAUUCCUCAACAAUGCAGCCCUUCAAGAGCGGUUGCUAAGCUUGAGAGGAUGAUCUUGGGGUUUCGACAUUUUAUUCGUUUUAGUUUUACUUGUAGCCAAGUUUUAGAGAUUCUCUCUGCUUGGAAAUGAAUGCACAUAAUAAAACGAUAAUUUGUUGCCGUGCGAUGUCACAAGAGCUUGUUUAAGGAUUAGACUGCCUCCAGAAAACAGUAAACAGGAUGCACUAUCGGCUCAUCUCAUGUAGUGCUGGCAACCGUGCUUUUCGGUCUCACCGUGUUGAUCUUUUGCUGAGCUUUAGCUGCAGUCGACGCUUGAGCAAACAAGGUAAUGAGAAAAAGGCACAUCAAAUAUAAUUAAAGCCUGCAUCCAUGAGUGCAAACAGAGCGCCAGAAUACGGCACUGUCCUUGUGACUGCACAUUUUUCCUCCUUUAACCUUUUUCUUAAUUAGAAACUCCAUGAUAAACAUAAAUCUUUUAUUGGAUCAUCACAUAAAAAACUGUCCCUUCGUUUGUUUAAGGCAGGGUAGCAGGAAGACCUUUCAUCUUGGAGUUAGGGUAUCAGACCAAAGGGCAGGUCUGUGGGGUUUCUCCUGUCUCCUGGGGGGUCGCCAAGCAAUUAAAAGAUAAGAACUCAGUCAGGGAGUGUGAAUCUGUUUGAUUUCUAUCUGCGAGAUAAUGAAGAAAAAAAAAGUUCCUGCCAGCUGUAGUGGGAACAGAUUAAUUGGGAAUGUAAACACAAACACGCUCUGAUUCGCCACUCAGAUUUCAGUCUUUGCAGACUUCAGGAGGUUAAUAUCCUGUGUCACUUUUAGACAUGAAAAAACUGAACUUGGUGGCUGUUAUUAUGAUUAUUUUGGAGUAGCUACAGUCAGUCAUUCAAAUGUUACUCUGGCUUGUCAUGUCAGAAUGUGUAAGAAUUCUAAUCUUAUUUGUCCUAUCUCAUUUAUUUGUCUUGUUAGAUGCAGUUUAAGUUUGCCUUGAAGAAUUGCAUUUUUUAACAAAAAGAUAGAUGAGUUCUGACCUGUUAAAUCUGUCCUCAUAAUUUGUCCUAGAAAUAAGUCCAGGUUCCCAUUUUGUCACGUGACCAAAACAUACCGUCUAAUUAACUUAAUGGAAAAUCUGUUUAAUUAACUGUGCCUUGGAAUAUGCGUCAACAGGGCGGUAAUAUUUCAUUGCGGUCAUAUGCUCUGACAGCUUAAGAACAGCCAGUUAACAUCUAGACUAAAUGGCAUUCCCCCACAUAAUACAAAUAUAAAAGAGAAGAUAUGAUUAGAACUGUAAAAUAGUAAAGUUUGUGCAAAUUAAAAAGCAGUAGUUGCAGAUAUGGUAAGUUAUCCAAAGCAUGUCUCACAGUGUGGCGUGAAAGACUUAAAAUGG
Long non-coding RNA from Oryzias sinensis (Chinese medaka), 2599 nucleotides. Lineage: Eukaryota; Metazoa; Chordata; Actinopteri; Beloniformes; Adrianichthyidae. The record is from Ensembl.